UGAAUUUUUCCCUAAGCAUGAAGAACAAACAGGAAUUUCUCAAUGCAGAAAGGACUGAAGCUGUCAAAGGUGUGUUUUGUUUUUCUGCACAAACAAGUUUCCAUUGAAUGAUAGAAUGAAGAGAUACUGACUUUCCUGGAGCCUCCAAAUUUGAGUAGUCAGCUUCACUGCAUGGGGAAGUUACCAAAAUAUGUCUCCUCUACCAAAAGAACAAAAAAGGAUGAGCAGAAUAAAAUAAUUUUGCAGAGGCUUCAGGGCCAAUUGGAGGCAGAGCUCAGAUUGGAACCCAGAAGAACUGGACUCCAAGACCUGUGAACUUAAGCAUGUGCAACAUCCUAGACGAAACUCAGCUGGUGGAAGAGGAGCAUAGGGAGGUGUCCUGAAGAAAUCGGGCCCAAGCUUUUAGCCAUCAUCUUCCAGUGGAGUCACAUGCAGUGUGCGUCAUUGUCCCAGCCAGAUGUAUGAACACCUGAGCAGAGUGCUGUCAAACAGCAACUAAAUUCCCAUCUUGUGGUUGAGGUAUAACCAUGCAUCGGAAGCAGUCUGCCUCUACUACAGAAAAGAAAUGUAAGUAACUUCAGACUUUCCUGUAUCCGAGUAGUGGGCAAAUGUAGCUACAUGCCUCCUCAAUGCAUUAGAUGCAUUGACUCCGUACUUGGAUUAAGGGAUGUCAUUAAACUAUUAAUCAAAUAAAUGGUCCU
Callithrix jacchus (white-tufted-ear marmoset) is the source of this 701-nucleotide long non-coding RNA. RefSeq lists it as uncharacterized. Lineage: Eukaryota; Metazoa; Chordata; Mammalia; Primates; Cebidae. The record is from RefSeq and is a predicted model, not a curated record.